GCCUACCNAGGCGGCGACGGGUAUCCGGCCUGAGAGGGUGUACGGACACAUUGGGACUGAGAUACGGCCCAGACUCCUACGGGAGGCAGCAGUGGGGAAUAUUGCACAAUGGGCGCAAGCCUGAUGCAGCGACGCCGCGUGGGGGAUGAAGGCCUUCGGGUUGUAAACUCCUUUCGCUAUCGACGAAGCCUUCGGGUGACGGUAGGUAGAUAAGAAGCACCGGCUAACUACGUGCCAGCAGCCGCGGUAAUACAA
This 255-nucleotide ribosomal RNA is filed under the name uncultured bacterium. Its description in RNAcentral is "partial 16S ribosomal RNA". It matches the Rfam family "Bacterial small subunit ribosomal RNA", at positions 263 to 528 of the family's 1533-position model. The record is from RNAcentral.